GACGAACGCUGGCGGCGUGCUUAACACAUGCAAGUCGAACGGGAUUUAGUAAACAGCAGCCUCGGUGGGAGAUUACUACUGAGAGUGGCGAACGGGGUAGUAACGCGUGGGCAACCUGCCUAUGACAGGGGGAUAGCCUCGGUACACCGUGAUUGAUCCCGCAUCAAAUCGUGGAAACACAUGUUUUAGCGGUCAAAGAUUUAUCGGUCAUGGAUGGGCUCGCGUCUGAUUAGCUAGUUGGUGAGAUAACAGCCAACCAAGGCGACGAUCAGGAGCCGGUCUGAGAGGAUGACAGGCCACAUUUGAACUGAGACACAGUCCCAUCUCGUACGGGAGGGAGGAGUGGGGAAUAUUGCAGAAUGAGGGAAAACCUGAUGCAGCGACGCCGCGUAAACGAAGAAGGUAUUCGUAUCGUAAAGUUGUGUCCUAUGGGAAGAUAAUGACAGUACCAUAGAAAAAAGCACCGGCUAACUACGUG
RNAcentral lists this ribosomal RNA (478 nucleotides) under uncultured bacterium. RNAcentral's name for it is "partial 16S ribosomal RNA". It matches the Rfam family "Bacterial small subunit ribosomal RNA", at positions 28 to 507 of the family's 1533-position model. The record is from RNAcentral.